GAUGAACGCUGGCGGCGUGCCUAAUACAUGCAAGUCGAGCGAACAGACGAGGAGCUUGCUCCUCUGACGUUAGCGGCGGACGGGUGAGUAACACGUGGAUAACCUACCUAUAAGACUGGGAUAACUUCGGGAAACCGGAGCUAAUACCGGAUAAUAUAUUGAACCGCAUGGUUCAAUAGUGAAAGACGGUUUUGCUGUCACUUAUAGAUGGAUCCGCGCCGCAUUAGCUAGUUGGUAAGGUAACGGCUUACCAAGGCAACGAUGCGUAGCCGACCUGAGAGGGUGAUCGGCGACACUGGAACUGAGACACGGUACAGACUCCUACGGGAGGCAGCAGUAGGGAAUCUUCCGAAAAGGGCGAAAGCAUGACGGAGCAACGACGAGUGAGUGAUGAAGGUCUUAGGAUCGUAAAACUCUGUUAUGAGGGAAGAAAAAAUGUGUAAGUAAAUAUGCACGUCUUGACGGUACCUAAUCAGAAAGCAACGGCUAACUACGUG
This 497-nucleotide ribosomal RNA is filed under the name uncultured bacterium. RNAcentral's name for it is "partial 16S ribosomal RNA". It matches the Rfam family "Bacterial small subunit ribosomal RNA", at positions 28 to 507 of the family's 1533-position model. The record is from RNAcentral.